This 491-nucleotide ribosomal RNA is filed under the name uncultured bacterium. RNAcentral's name for it is "bacterial SSU rRNA". It matches the Rfam family "Bacterial small subunit ribosomal RNA", at positions 34 to 507 of the family's 1533-position model. The record is from RNAcentral.
CGCUGGCGGCGUGCCUAAUACAUGCAAGUCGAACGAACGGAUAAAGAGCUUGCUCUUUUGAAGUUAGUGGCGGACGGGUGAGUAACACGUGGGUAACCUGCCUCACAGCUGGGGAUAACAUCGAGAAAUCGAUGCUAAUACCGAAUGUGCUGAACAUCAUAAGAUGUUCAAGUGAAAGACGGUUUCGGCUGUCACUGUGAGAUGGACCCGCGCUGGAUUAGCUAGUUGGUAAGGUAAUGGCUUACCAAGGCGACGAUCCAUAGCCGACUUGAGAGGGUGAUCGGCCACAUUGGGACUGAGACACGGCCCAAACUCCUACGGGAGACAGCAGUAGGGAAUCUUCGGCAAUGGACGAAAGUCUGACCGAGCAACGCCGCGUGAGCGAAGAAGGCCUUCGGGUCGUAAAGCUCUGUUGUUAGAGAAGAACAUGGGUGAGAGUAACUGUCCACCCCUUGACGGUAUCUAACCAGAAAGCCACGGCUAACUACGUG